Molecule: non-coding RNA, 28 nt
Filed under: Mus musculus (house mouse)
Lineage: Eukaryota; Metazoa; Chordata; Mammalia; Rodentia; Muridae
Source: RNAcentral
GACAGGGAGCUGCCUGGGCCAGGUGGCA